UGUGUAGCUGCAGCUAGCGUGUACUAUGCUGUGCUACUUCGUUGUUGGUUGUAAAACAGGAAAUAGAAAAUGAUGCAGUUCAGCAUUAUUGUUGGAAAGAGGGACAUAAUACUGCUGUUUAUCUUCUGCCAUCCUUCUUGUUAAGCAUUGCCUUAUGAAGACCAAGUCUGGGUACUUGGCUCCACGAUGUGAAACAUUCCGUGAACGUUGUGCUUCAUCAACCUCCCAGGCAUUCCGUUAGCUCGGCCCCGCAUGGAGAAAGACAGAGAGAGAGACACCGAGAGGGAGAGAAUGUCAGUGUUCUCAUUCCCCCAGCGCUUCCAGCUGUUUAACAACCAACACUCUACUUAACAAACGAGAGGUCUCUUUCUCUACCCCUACAGCCCCAGGUUAUAUCAGCUGUUUUGGUGAACCCCUCCCACAUCUGAACUGGCUGACAGAGGGCACAGCAUGAUCAUAGGUAUUUUUUGAUGUGAGAGAGGAAGCCAGUCCCGUCAUCGCCACCUCACCCGCUCUUAAGAUAACCUUUGGGACAACUGGGGGCCCAAGGCUGGUUAGGAGACACCGCAAUUGUGAUGAACUGAGAGAAUAUUAGGGUAACACUGUAAUUCAUGAAUCAUAUGCUGUCUGCCGCUGUUCUUACCUCUUUCCCUUUCUGUCUUCUACACCUCUCUCCGAACCUUGUCUUUCUUCCUCAUUUCAUAAUGCACACCAUAUGUGCAUUGAAGUACAGACUGAACUUAUGUUUUAUUUAAUAUUACAAAUAUUAUAAUUAUAAUGCAUUUAUGUAUUUAUAACACCUUGAUAAUUAACUUAUUUCAAUAAAAUGUUUCACAUUCUCCACUGGUUGAAUUUAAGUAUCUCAUUGAAAUACUAUCCUGUGUCCUCAGAUUAAUGCAGAUGAAGGGAGUUAGAUAUGUAUAUAUGAAUUACAAUAGUUACAAUGUGUAAUCAUUGAUGUCCCAGGAGCAGGAGUGGUAAACACUGUUGAAGUGUAAAAUUGUAAUACAUACAUGCAGACACAGCAACAUUCAAAUAAUCGAGUUUGAUAUGACUGAAAAAUAAUGUCUCAGAGAUUCAUACCUGAACCACACCUUUAUUUGCCAAGGAAGAGUACAUGAUCAGUAAAUAUAUUCAAUGUACAUGCUACAAUGUGGGGAUCG
Molecule: long non-coding RNA, 1163 nt
Organism: Salvelinus fontinalis (brook trout)
Lineage: Eukaryota; Metazoa; Chordata; Actinopteri; Salmoniformes; Salmonidae
Exons: 4
Source: RefSeq, a predicted model, not a curated record